This is a long non-coding RNA of Hirundo rustica (Barn swallow), 1258 nucleotides long. RefSeq lists it as uncharacterized. The record is from RefSeq and is a predicted model, not a curated record. The transcript has 5 exons. Lineage: Eukaryota; Metazoa; Chordata; Aves; Passeriformes; Hirundinidae.
GGGGAUUCCUGAAGGAGGAGGAGCCUUGUGGAAGAAGAAAGGAGAAAAUCAUCAUGAUGAUGAUGAAGAAGAAGAAGAAGAAGGAUCCUGAGGAGGGAGAAUCACUGCUGUGAGCCCUGCAGAAGUACAACACGAUAUUUUCCCUCCAGUCCUACAAAAGGCCUUGUCAGAGAUGUGGCUGCAGAGGAAACCUUGGGGAGCUGCCAGUCCUGAUGAAUAGAUAACCUGCAGGAGGUAGAAGGAUGAAUCUGAUGCUCCUUGAGCACUCCAGUCCAGCUCAGACAGAGAAUAGAGGACACUGACCCUGCUGGUGCUGUGUGUGGCAGAUGGCAAAGCUGCUUUCAUUGCUGGCUUUGGAGGCUCUGUGACAUCUGAUUAUGAUGAGCUAUAAGAGGAGUCCAACAAUUCCUUAGCAAAAGAACAUCUUACCUGAAUAAAUCAACAGCCACCAGGCCGAGCAAAGAUAAAAGGUAGAACAUGCCUCUCUUGCCUGCUCCCGGGGAAACUCCAUUAUCCUUCCAGGCUCACGUGGCUGAGGAAAAGCCAAUCUGAGUGGGAAGAGGCAGCCCACAAGGACGAGCUCUGUGUGAGCAGAAAAUGAAGUUGUUACCAGACAGCAAACUGCAGCCCUCGGUUCUUAUGAAUAUUUGAAUGAGUAACUAAAAACAGCUCAGUGGACUCUAAGCGACUGUGACAGCUGAAACUGCCUGGGAAACCAGCGGUCUACAAGGGCCACGAUGAAAAGAUCAGCAGCCACAUUUCCACCUACACCACCAGUAUGUUGUACAACAUGAGCAGGUUCUUAGUAUCCAAAUAUUGUUUAGAAAGAAAAAUACCUUUUCCCCCUAUGAAUUUUCAUGAGCAAGGUAUGUCGUGAAUCUGGCAAGAAAUUUUGAAUCCAUUAAAGUCCAAUGAUUUCUAACAACCUACUCAAGGCAAGAGAAUGCCCACGUUUUUCAGACAUUGAAAUAUUGAUGCUGCUUAUACUUACAGAAAAUUUGCCCUAGUGAAUCUUUCAUUAAUAUUUUUCAGCUACUUCCACGUGGCAAGAAAGAUGAUGAGAACAGUUUCCCUGAAGAUCAAAUGUUCUGAGUAAUCUGCACUAAAAAGAAAGGGUGGAAGAGCCAUAAUAAGCAAACUAAUGAAACAUUGGGUUUAUUCAGUAGCAUUUGGAGAAAAGUAGAGGAGUUAUAAAAAGAGCAAAGCAGCUCUGUUUGCUUAAAAAGAAAAAAAAAAAAAAAGGAAGAAAAAAAAAAAA